RNAcentral lists this ribosomal RNA (449 nucleotides) under uncultured bacterium. RNAcentral describes it as "bacterial SSU rRNA". It matches the Rfam family "Bacterial small subunit ribosomal RNA", at positions 351 to 793 of the family's 1533-position model. The record is from RNAcentral.
GCAGUAGGGAAUCUUCCACAAUGGACGAAAGUCUGAUGGAGCAACGCCGCGUGAGUGAAGAAGGGUUUCGGCUCGUAAAACUCUGUUGUUAAAGAAGAACAUAUCUGAGAGUAACUGUUCAGGUAUUGACGGUAUUUAACCAGAAAGCCACGGCUAACUACGUGCCAGCAGCCGCGGUAAUACGUAGGUGGCAGGCGUUGUCCGGAUUUAUUGGGCGUAAAGCGAGCGCAGGCGGUUUUUAAGUCUGAUGUGAAAGCCUUCGGCUCAACCGAAGAAGUGCAUCGGAAACUGGGAAACUUGAGUGCAGAAGAGGACAGUGGAACUCCAUGUGUAGCGGUGAAAUGCGUAGAUAUAUGGAAGAACACCAGUGGCGAAGGCGGCUGUCUGGUCUGUAACUGACGCUGAGGCUCGAAAGUAUGGGUAGCAAACAGGAUUAGAUACCCUGGUAG